RNAcentral lists this ribosomal RNA (373 nucleotides) under uncultured organism. RNAcentral's name for it is "partial 16S ribosomal RNA". It matches the Rfam family "Bacterial small subunit ribosomal RNA", at positions 527 to 896 of the family's 1533-position model. The record is from RNAcentral.
GUAGGUGGCAAGCGUUGUCCGGAAUUAUUGGGCGUAAAGCGCGCGCAGGCGGUUCUUUAAGUCUGAUGUGAAAGCCCACGGCUCAACCGUGGAGGGUCAUUGGAAACUGGGGAACUUGAGUACAGAAGAGGAAAGCGGAAUUCCACGUGUAGCGGUGAAAUGCGUAGAGAUGUGGAGGAACACCAGUGGCGAAGGCGGCUUUCUGGUCUGUAACUGACGCUGAGGCGCGAAAGCGUGGGGAGCAAACAGGAUUAGAUACCCUGGUAGUCCACGCCGUAAACGAUGAGUGCUAAGUGUUAGGGGGGUUUCCGCCCCCCUUAGUGCUGCAGCUAACGCAUUAAGCACUCCGCCUGGGAGUACGGCCGCAAGGCUG